GUAUUGUAUUGCGUUAAACGCGAUGUACAUUCCAUAAGACUUCAUCACAGUGUGUGUGUGUAAAGACAUAGAACCACAGCAGGAGGGCAGGGCCCUCCACGCCAUAGAACUACAGAGCGUGCACAGGUGUGAGUGGAUGUGUAAACAGAGCGUGCACAUGCCCCCAUUUGAAGGCCAGCAACAACUCGUGUCGACAGUUCGGUAAUGAUCCUUCCGCAGGUUCACCUACGGAAA
This 234-nucleotide unclassified non-coding RNA is filed under the name uncultured fungus. RNAcentral describes it as "sequence contains ITS1". The record is from RNAcentral. Lineage: Eukaryota; Fungi.